AGUUUGAUUCUGGCUCAGAUUGAACGCUGGCGGGAUGCUUCUGCAUGCAAGUCGAACAGCAACACGGACUUCGGUCUGGUGGCGAGUGGCGAGCAGGUGAGUAAUGUAUCAGACAUGCCCUGAAGUAGCGGGGAUGCUACGCCAGUGAUAUGCAUACGCCCUUCGGGGAAAGCGGGGGACCUUCGGGCCUCACUAUUAGAGCAGCCGAUAUCGGAUUAGCUGGAUUGGUGAGGUAACGGCUCACCAAGGCGACGAUCCGUAGCUGGUUUGAGAGGACGACCAGCCACACUGGGACUGAGACGGCCCAGACUCCUACGGGAGGCAGCAGUGGGGAAUUUUGAAUAAUGGGGAAACCCUGAUCCAGCCAUCCCGCGUGUGCGAUAGAAGGCCUUCGGGUUGUAAGCUUUUUGGCAGGAAAACGGCACGGGAUAAUACCCCGUGCAACUGACGGCUACCUGCAGAAUAAGCACCGGCUAACUACGUGCCAGCAGCCGCGGUAAUACGUAGGGUGCAAGCGUUAAUCGGAAUUACUGGGCGUAAAGCGUGCGCAGGCGGUUCGGAAAGAAGGUCUUGAAAUCCCAGAGCUUAACUGGAACUGCAUUUUUUUAACUACCCGAGCUAGAGUGUGUCAGAGGAGGUGAUUGUAGCAGUGAAACGCAUGAAUAUGCGGAGGAACGCACACCGAUGGCGAAGGCAGCCUCCUGGGAUAACACUGACGCUCAUGCACGAAAGCGUGGGAGCAAACAGGAUUAGAUACCCUGGUAGUCCACGCCCUAAACGAUGUCAACUAGCUGUUGGGGCCUUCGGGCCUUGGUAGCGCAGCUAACGCGUGAAGUUGACCGCACAGGAGAUACGGUCAUAAAAGUUAAACUCAAAGGAAUUGACGGGGACCCGCACGGGCGGUGGAUGAUGUGGAUUAAUUGAUGCAACGCGAAAACCUUACCUACCCUUGACAUGUCUGGAAUCCCGAAAGGAUUUGCGGUGCUCGCAAAGAGAACCGGAACACAGGUGCUGCAUGGCUGUCGUCAGCUCGUGUCGUGAGAUGCGGGUUAAGUCCGCAACGAGCGCAACCCUUGUGUGGUUGCUACGAGGGCGCUCUAAUGAGACUGCCGGUGACAAACCGGAGGAAGGUGGGGAUGACGUCAAGUCCUCAUGGCCCUUAUGGGUGGGACCACACGUCAUACAAUGGUCAGGACAGAGAGAGAUUCGCCAACCCGCGAGAGGCCAAUCGAAACCCGAUCGUGAUCCGGAUCGCAGUCUACCUUCGACUGCGCGUGAAGUCGAAUCGCUGGUAAUCGCGGAUCAGCAUGUCGCGGUGAAUACGUUCAGUCUUGUACUACACCGCCCGUCACACCAUGGGAGUGGGUUUUACCAGAAAUGAUUAGCCUAACCGUAAGGAGGGCGAUUACCACAGUAGGAUUCAUGACUGGGGUGAAGUCGUAACAAGGUAACUGAAUCGCUAUGUUCGGC
RNAcentral lists this ribosomal RNA (1470 nucleotides) under uncultured Bordetella sp. RNAcentral describes it as "partial 16S-23S ribosomal RNA intergenic spacer". It matches the Rfam family "Bacterial small subunit ribosomal RNA". Lineage: Bacteria; Pseudomonadati; Pseudomonadota; Betaproteobacteria; Burkholderiales; Alcaligenaceae. The record is from RNAcentral.